This 253-nucleotide ribosomal RNA is filed under the name uncultured bacterium. Its description in RNAcentral is "partial 16S ribosomal RNA". It matches the Rfam family "Bacterial small subunit ribosomal RNA", at positions 524 to 776 of the family's 1533-position model. The record is from RNAcentral.
UACAGAGGGGGCAAGCGUUGUUCGGAAUUACUGGGCGUAAAGGGCGCGUAGGUGGCCUUCUAAGUUGAACGUGAAAUCCCUGGGCUCAACCCAGGAACUGCGUCCAAGACUGGGAGGCUUGAAUCCGGGAGAGGGAUGCGGAAUUCCAGGUGUAGCGGUGAAAUGCGUAGAUAUCUGGAGGAACACCGGUGGCGAAGGCGGCAUCCUGGGCCGGUAUUGACACUGAGGCGCGAAAGCCAGGGGAGCAAACGGG